UGGGGAAUAUUGGACAAUGGGCGCAAGCCUGAUCCAGCCAUGCCGCGUGAGUGAUGAAGGCCUUAGGGUUGUAAAGCUCUUUCGACGGGGACGAUAAUGACGGUACCCGUAGAAGAAGCCCCGGCUAACUUCGUGCCAGCAGCCGCGGUAAUACGAAGGGGGCUAGCGUUGCUCGGAAUCACUGGGCGUAAAGGGCGCGUAGGCGGACGUUUAAGUCAGAGGUGAAAGCCCAGGGCUCAACCCUGGAAUGGCCUUUGAUACUGGACGUCUUGAGUCUGGUAGAGGUUGGUGGAACUGCGAGUGUAGAGGUGAAAUUCGUAGAUAUUCGCAAGAACACCGGUGGCGAAGGCGGCCAACUGGACCAGAACUGACGCUGAGGCGCGAAAGCGUGGGGAGCAAACAGGAUUAGAUACCCUGGUAGUCCACGCCGUAAACGAUGGAUGCUAGCCGUUGGCCGGUUUACCGGUCAGUGGCGCAGCUAACGCGUUAAGCAUCCCGCCUGGGGAGUACGGCCGCAAGGUU
RNAcentral lists this ribosomal RNA (522 nucleotides) under uncultured bacterium. RNAcentral describes it as "partial 16S ribosomal RNA". It matches the Rfam family "Bacterial small subunit ribosomal RNA", at positions 355 to 895 of the family's 1533-position model. The record is from RNAcentral.